Molecule: long non-coding RNA, 1587 nt
Organism: Equus asinus (donkey)
Lineage: Eukaryota; Metazoa; Chordata; Mammalia; Perissodactyla; Equidae
Source: Ensembl
UUCAUAAUGCAGAACUUCAGUCCUAUUCCAGAAGGCUCUCUUCUAGCAGAAUCUGCAGGGCAUUGAUUAUAUACCCGAUGAGCCAUAGAAUCAUCAAGACCCAGGCCAGCUCCACUCGGAGUUGCUCCAUACUCUGCAUGGUCCACUCUUCUAUCUCCUUCUGUUUCCCACUUAGGUAUUCGGAGCACCAUUCAGGCUGAUGCUCAUGCUGCUACUGAACUGCCCCAGACACUGGUGUCAUCUCCAUUACCUGAAGAGGACAAUGAAAUGUCUCCUUUAUCUUUAUCCUGCUUCUGUGUAGCAGAGUCUCAAAUGAAUACAGACUUCAGGGUCGUGGCUCUUUGAGAAUGUCACACAGCACUUUAUGCCCACAGCAUACAAUGCUUCCAGAAAGUCUAGGUCAAGGCAGCCGGACAGUACCAGGAGCCUCAGGCCCUGUCGCUGAAGCUGCCCCAUCGUGCCACACUUCACAACUUCCAAAGGUAGAGUUCUCUCUGAAAACUCACAAUCUUGCCAUCUGUCUCCAUUCUCAUAUCUCAAUCUAUUCAGCUUAUCAGUCUCCAUGUGCCACUUUCCCAUGAGGCAUUUCAACAUCCAUGUAAAUCAGAAGUGAUGCAUAAACUAGGUGUCAGGAGCAUAGGGGAGCACAAGGCAUUAUCUAUUUCUGUGAGCCAUGCUUAACAUACAGCUACUCAGUACCAAAGAACUCAGUCGCUACAAUAUAGAGAUAAUUACAAACAAAUGAGUGACAUCAACGAGAUCUAAGUUGUCAUAAAUACAAUUUCAUAUUUUUUUAUGAAUGAAAAAAUAUUUAUCUUUUUUCAAAAAUUCACUUGGAAAUUAUUUUCAUGAUAUAGUACCAUGAUCAUGAUUUUAUCAUACUCUCCAACAACAUCAAUAAGAAAAACCAGCUCAGGGCAGGCCCUGUGGCAUAGUGGUUAAGUCCAGCACACUCUGCUUUGGCAGCCCAGGUUCACAAUUUUGGAUCCUGGGCAUGGACCUACACCACUCGUCAAGCCACACUUUGGUGGUGAUCCACAUACAAAAUAGAUGAAGAUUAGCAAGGUGUUAGCUCAGAGUAAAUUUUCCUCAACGAAAAAAAGAAAAGAAGGCUCUCAAGCUCUGAAGCUUUUCCUAUACUCUGCUCUUCUCCCCCAAGGCCCUAACAUUCCACACACAUUCCAUGGUUGCCAGGAUGCUCUGCUUUAUUCAGCAUUACAUCACCAGAUGCUAGGAACAUAUCUGGAGUAGAGUGGACUUUUGUGACUCUGAAGUUUGGCCCAGUGUAGUCACAGUCGAUUGCUAGCAAUAUUCAGAUUGAAUCCAGAGAAGUCAACUGCAGAGAUUUGGACCAAGCAAACCCCAUCUGAACAUUAACAGUCAAGAUUAUUGGGUCUAGAGAGGGCAAAAUCUUCUUUCCUGACUUAUUCUAUCUUCAAGAGCUAAAUUUAUUUUUUAAUGUGCUAUUAAUUAUAUAAUGAUACUUCAUGGUGUUAAGAGGUAAAAUCAUAAUAUAAAAUCUCAGGCAAAUAAAAUGAAAAAAAAUAGUUGAAGGCAGAAAAAAACUAAGUAAAUAAUAAAAACAUG